CACUCUGGUGGCCUAGUGGUUAGAGCAUCCGCUUUGGAUGCGGGAGGUUGUGGGUUCAAUCCCCGGCCAAGUCA
Molecule: non-coding RNA, 74 nt
Organism: Potamilus streckersoni
Lineage: Eukaryota; Metazoa; Mollusca; Bivalvia; Unionida; Unionidae
Source: the annotation of a GenBank genome assembly